CUUUAUUGGAGAGUUUGAUCCUGGCUCAGGAUGAACGCUGGCGGCGUGCCUAAUACAUGCAAGUCGAGCGAAUGGAUUGAGAGCUUGCUCUUAUGAAGUUAGCGGCGGACGGGUGAGUAACACGUGGGUAACCUGCCCAUAAGACUGGGAUAACUCCGGGAAA
This 163-nucleotide ribosomal RNA is filed under the name Bacillus thuringiensis serovar higo. RNAcentral describes it as "partial 16S ribosomal RNA". It matches the Rfam family "Bacterial small subunit ribosomal RNA", at positions 1 to 156 of the family's 1533-position model. The record is from RNAcentral. Lineage: Bacteria; Bacillati; Bacillota; Bacilli; Caryophanales; Bacillaceae.